UGCAUGGCCGUCGUCAGUUCGUACUGUGAAGCAUCCUGUUAAGUCAGGCAACGAGCGAGACCCACGCCAACAGUUGCCAGCUCGUCCUCCGGGAUGGUGGGGACACUGUUGGGACCGCCUCUGCUAAAGAGAGGAAGGAAUGGGCAACGGUAGGUCAGCAUGCCCCGAAUUAUCUGGGCUACACGCGGGCUACAAUGGGUGGGACAAUGGGUAUCAACACCGAAAGGUGAAGGCAAUCUCUUAAACCUGUCCUUAGUUCGGAUUGUGGGCUGCAACUCGCCCACAUGAAGCUGGAAUCUGUAGUAAUCGCGUCUCAAAAUGGCGCGGUGAAUAUGUCCCUGCUCCUU
Molecule: ribosomal RNA, 347 nt
Filed under: uncultured Methanomicrobiales archaeon
Lineage: Archaea; Methanobacteriati; Methanobacteriota; Methanomicrobia; Methanomicrobiales
Description: bacterial SSU rRNA
Rfam family: Archaeal small subunit ribosomal RNA
Source: RNAcentral